CGGCGGCGGUUAAUCGCCGUGGCACCACCUCUUCCCAUUCCGAAUAGAGUCGUGAAACGCGGUUGAGCCGAUGAUACUAACGAAGGGAAAGUAGGUAGCCGCCGCCGUU
RNAcentral lists this ribosomal RNA (109 nucleotides) under Parcubacteria group bacterium GW2011_GWA2_42_35. The record is from RNAcentral. RNAcentral also lists the same sequence under 1 other name.